CCUGAUUGGCCCGCGGCCUAUCAGCUAGUUGGUGAGGUAACGGCUCACCAAGGCUACGACGGGUAGCUGGUCUUAGAGGACGACCAGCCACACUGGAACUGAGACACGGUCCAGACACCUACGGGUGGCAGCAGUCGAGAAUCUUUCACAAUGGGGGCAACCCUGAUGGAGCGACGCCGCGUGGAGGAUUAAGGUCUUCGGAUUGUAAACUCCUGUCAUGUGAGAGCAAGGCUUUGCGUUAACUGCGCAAAGUUUGAUAGUAUCACAAGAGGAAGAGACGGCUAACUCUGUGCCAGCAGCCGCGGUAAUACAGAGGUCUCAAGCGUUGUUCGGAAUCACUGGGCGUAAAGGGUGCGUAGGCGGCAUGGAAAGUCAGAUGUGAAAUCCGAGAGCUCAACUUUCGAAUUGCAUCCGAUACUCCCGUGCUAGAGAACUGAAGGGGAGCUUGGAAUUCUCGGUGUAGCAGUGAAAUGCGUAGAUAUCGAGAGGAACACUAGUGGCGAAGGCGAAGCUCUGGGCAGUAUCUGACGCUGAGGCACGAAGGCCAGGGGAGCGAACGGGAUAGAUACCCCGGUAGUCCUGGCAGUAAACGGUGCGCGUUUGGUGUGGAGGGGUUCGACCCCCUCUGUGCCGUAGUUAACACGUUAAACGCGCCGCCUGGGAAGUACGGUCGCAAGAUUAAAACUCAAAGAAAUUGACGGGGACCCGCACAAGCGGUGGAGUAUGUGGCUUAAUUCGAUGCAACGCGAAGAACCUUACCUGGACUCGACAUGCACUGUGUCUUGAAUGAAAGUUCAAUAGUGUAGCAAUACACGCUUUGCACAGGUGCUGCAUGGCUGUCGUCAGCUCGUGUCGUGAGAUGUUGGGUUAAGUCCCGCAACGAGCGCAACCCUUGUAGUUUGUUGCCAGCAGAGAAAUCUGCGCACUCAAACUAGACUGCCCAGAUCAACUGGGAGGAAGGUGAGGAUGACGUCAAGUCCGUAUGGCCCUUACGUCCAGGGCUGCACACGUACUACAAUGCCCAGCACAAUGUGACCCGAUGCCGUGAGGUGGAGGAAAUCAACAAAGCUGGGCUCAGUUCAGAUUGAAGGCUGCAACUCGCCUUCAUGAAGUUGGAAUCGCUAGUAAUGGCACAUCAGCUACGGUGCCGUGAAUACGUUCCCGGGUCUUGUACACACCGCCCGUCACAUCAUGGAAGCUGGUUUCGCCCGAAACGCCCAAGCCAACCGAAAGGAAGCAAGGUUCUAAGGCAAGACUGGUAACUGGGAUGAAGUCGAACAAGGUA
This 1285-nucleotide ribosomal RNA is filed under the name metagenome. RNAcentral's name for it is "bacterial SSU rRNA". It matches the Rfam family "Bacterial small subunit ribosomal RNA", at positions 221 to 1498 of the family's 1533-position model. The record is from RNAcentral.